This 660-nucleotide ribosomal RNA is filed under the name Hypocreales sp. BSR2-4-2. RNAcentral describes it as "SSU rRNA". It matches the Rfam family "Eukaryotic small subunit ribosomal RNA", at positions 80 to 746 of the family's 1831-position model. The record is from RNAcentral. Lineage: Eukaryota; Fungi; Ascomycota; Sordariomycetes; Hypocreales.
CGCGAACUGCGGAAUGGCUCAUUAUAUAAGUUAUCGUUUAUUUGAUAAUACUUUACUACUUGGAUAACCGUGGUAAUUCUAGAGCUAAUACAUGCUGAAAAUCCCGACUUCGGAAGGGAUGUAUUUAUUAGAUUAAAAACCAAUGCCCCUCGGGGCUCUCUGGUGAAUCAUGAUAACUAGUCGAAUCGACAGGCCUUGUGCCGGCGAUGGCUCAUUCAAAUUUCUUCCCUAUCAACUUUCGAUGUUUGGGUAUUGGCCAAACAUGGUGGCAACGGGUAACGGAGGGUUAGGGCUCGACCCCGGAGAAGGAGCCUGAGAAACGGCUACUACAUCCAAGGAAGGCAGCAGGCGCGCAAAUUACCCAAUCCCGACACGGGGAGGUAGUGACAAUAAAUACUGAUACAGGGCUCUUUUGGGUCUUGUAAUCGGAAUGAGUACAAUUUAAAUCCCUUAACGAGGAACAAUUGGAGGGCAAGUCUGGUGCCAGCAGCCGCGGUAAUUCCAGCUCCAAUAGCGUAUAUUAAAGUUGUUGUGGUUAAAAAGCUCGUAGUUGAACCUUGGGCCUGGCUGGCCGGUCCGCCUCACCGCGUGCACUGGUCCGGCCGGGCCUUUCCCUCUGCGGAACCCCAUGCCCUUCACUGGGUGUGGCGGGGAAACAGG